AACGCGAAGAACCUUACCCAGGCUUGACAUCCUUGGAAUUUCUCCGAAAGGAGAGAGUGCUUUAUUGAGCCAAGUGACAGGUGAUGCAUGGCCGUCGUCAGCUCGUGUCGUGAGAUGUUUGGUUAAGUCCAUCAACGAGCGCAACCCUUAUGUUUAGUUGAAUUUCUCUAAACAGACUGCCCUGGUAACAGGGAGGAAGGAGGGGAUGAUGUCAGGUCAGUAUUUCCCUUACGUCUGGGGCUACAAACACGCUACAAUGGCCGGUACAAAGGGCAGCCAAGUCGCAAGACGGAGCAAAUCCCAUCAAAGCCGGUCCCAGUUCGGAUUGCAGGCUGAAACUCGCCUGCAUGAAGUCGGAAUCGCUAGUAAUGGUAGGUCAGCUAUACUACCGUGAAUACGUUCCCGGGCCUUGUACACACCGACUGUAC
RNAcentral lists this ribosomal RNA (428 nucleotides) under uncultured bacterium. RNAcentral's name for it is "bacterial SSU rRNA". It matches the Rfam family "Bacterial small subunit ribosomal RNA", at positions 958 to 1399 of the family's 1533-position model. The record is from RNAcentral.